Long non-coding RNA from Scaptodrosophila lebanonensis, 4609 nucleotides. RefSeq lists it as uncharacterized. The transcript is spliced from 7 exons. The record is from RefSeq and is a predicted model, not a curated record. NCBI's taxonomy places the organism in Eukaryota, Metazoa, Arthropoda, Insecta, Diptera, Drosophilidae.
AUCAAACGGCUGGUGUUGUUGGUGUCCUCUGCUUCGAGUCCGGCGUUGCCUCGGAUGACUACUACCGCGGCGCCCAACGUAGGCCACACCCACUCUUGAUCUUCAGCAAGUUUCAUUGCAAAUCUUCCAGCUCGUAUGCGUUGGUGCCGAUGGAUUUCCUUACGCGAGCUUUUAGAAAUUUCCGCGCGAAUUUCGCAUUGAACGCGCGGCUGAAAUCACUCAAUGCAAAGUUUCGCCGGUAUACCUCCUGACCGGGCGCUAGUCUUAGCCGCCGCGCACGCCGGUUAUAGCGAACGCUACUGCGCUCAUACGCCGCGUGUAAUUGUGUCUGGACUUUCUGUUGCACCAGGGAUUGCCUGUCUGCUGUACUCAACGCUGCGAAUUCGUGCUCGUCUAACGACCUUAAUUUCCUCGCAACAUCAUAUGUCGGCCGAAUAGUGCGAAAAAAGGCGUUACUCCAGUCGCAGAAUGCACGCUAUUUCUGAUGGCCACUUCAAUUUCCGGAAGGUGUAGGUCCCACUCGCGCUGAUCCUGCUCCAGAUACGCCCGUAUCGCGGACAGUAUCGUCCGGUUCACCCUUUCGGACGCGUUGCUUUGCGGCGAAUACACCGGUGUCCGCAGAUGCUUAACACCGUAGCCCUCCAUCAUGUCUGCAAACUGCUUGGACGUGAAUUGCUUACCAUUAUCGGAGUGUAUGACUUCUGGAACGCCGAACGUAGGGAACACUUCGUUCACCAAGAAGUCGACGACGCUCCGAGUGGUGGCCUCCCGCAUCGCCUUCAGGAUCGUGAAUUUGGUGAAGUGAUCUACCACUAUGAAUAUGAAGGCGUGCCCCUUCCUUGAUCGCGGAUACUUGCCCAAGAAGUCUAUGUACAACUUCUGGAACGGCCUCUCCGUGACGACUUCUGCACCAAUUCCCACCUGCAUCCCGUAAUUGGUGGCUUUCGUCUCUUUGUAGACCACGCAUUUUCGGACCACUUCAGCAACGUCUUUGGCCAUUCCCGGCCAAUAAAACUGCCGCCGCAACCAGGACAACGUCUUCAACACUCCUCCAUGCGUUGACGCUUCGGUAUGGGCUUCGAUAUAAGCAUGCCGGUUAGCGCACGCGGAACCCACAGUUUCCACACACUGCCUUCGAGCUGAUCUUCUAGCCGAUUGAAGGAUGUCUUUUUGUAGAUCACCCCGUUUUCAAUUUUUAAAUCAGGUCUCCUGGAAAGAAAUCCAACUCCUCUAAAGUUUCGGCUUCGGUGCUCCUGGACAGCAUAUCCGCCACGAUGUUGUCAGAGCCCUUCCGGUGCGUGAUUUCAAAGUCGAAGCCUUGGAGCAGCAACGACCAACGUGCCAAUCGCCCGGACAAAUCCUUCAUGGACAUCAGCCAUUUCAAACUGGCGUGAUCGGCUAUGACCGUGAAUGGCAUCAUUUCGAUGUAUGGCCGGAAUUUUUGUAUCGCCAAUACCGCCGCCAAGCACUCCUUCUCGGUCACCGAGUAGUUUACCUGGUGCUUAUUCAUCUUAGCCGAGCAGAACGCAAUGAGCCUCUCGUUUCCCUUUAAGUCCAUUUGGAACAAUACCGCUCCGACGCCAAUAUGGGAUGCGUCACACUGCACGAAGAAUGGGCGUGAAAAAUUAGCGUGUACCAGCACUGGCGCAGAUGUGAGCGCCUUCUUCAACGCAUCGAAUGCUGCAACGGCUUCGUCACCGAGUGAGAAAAGGCCUCCAGAACGCUUUUUUAGUGCCUCAGUAAGCGGAGCUGCUAAGGUGGCAAAAUCUCUAAUAAAUCGCCUGUACCACCCGGCGGUUCCUAAGAAAGCUCGAACCUCCUUUACGGACCUUGGCACCUGUAUGCGCUGUAUCGCCUGCACCCGUUCCGGAUUUGUUCGAAGCACGCCGCCGCCCACGAUAAAUAUUUCAACGUUUUAAAGCAAAACUUCGACUUUUGUAACCCUAUCGUCAGAUUUGCCUUCUUGAGGCAUUCAGCGACUCUCUUCAGGUACUCCAAGUGCGUAUCAAAAUCAGCCGCGAAGACUACCAAAUCGUCCAGAUAUACUUUAACGUUGGACCUCAGUUCAUUCGGUAUGACCUUGUCCAUCAGCCGGCACAACCUUUGAGCGGCGUUACACAACCCGAAAGGCAUCAUGCGGAAUUGGUACAACGGUCGCCCUGGUACCGUAAACGCAGUGCACCUUCUACUGGACUCCUCCAACUCCACCUGCCAAAACGCAAAUUUCAGGUCCACACUGGAAAUAUAAUAUGUCUGAUCGAUUCCAGAUAGGAUUCCCUCCACGCAUGGUAGCGGAUAGGCAUCUUUUACUGUCAGUUUGUUCAACUUGCGGGCAUCGAGGCAAAAGCGGUUCUUGCCCGGCCGUCGCACUAUGGUGGUGCGGUUACUCCACGGACUAUCGCCUACCUCGAUGACGCCAAGCGCCAGCAUGCUGUCCACCUCAUCCCACACAAUCUUCUGCAUAGCGGGUGAUAGAGGGUAGUGCCUGUCUUUCACUGGCUCUGCUCCGCUGACCAAUUCAAUACGCUUUUGUUGUUCAUUCAAUUCCCACAUAUCUGGUUCCGGCCUUACUUCAUCCUGGUCCGCAUAAUGCGCCACUCUAUCAGCUAGCAAUUCAUCGAAGACAAGUCUUUUAACGGCUGGCUUUUCCGGAGGAAUUAAUAGUGGUGCCAAAUUAAACAGCCGCCAAAAGUCGAUGCCGAAAUACGCGUUCUGUUCAAGUGAUGGGCAUACGUAAAAUUCCACUUCUUUGGUCUCCUCUCGAUACACCACUGUUCGAGACCGCGUUUGCCUAGCACGCUUACCGAGGCCCCGGUAUCCAGCAAACCGCGUAGCACAUGGCCUCGCACCCGUACUUCGGCAAAAAUCCUCGGAUCUGCUGCUCCUUCGCGUCGCACUGCCUCGGCUACCAGCUUCUUCGUCUGCCUUCUCACUCGGAAUCGUGCUCGGGCCUUUUUAACUUUGGCUGUCACCAUCCUCAUUCCAUCUAACUGAUGUUGAGCAAAAAUUCUAUUGCGCGCCUCCAGAUAUGCCCGCAUCUUUUCCUCAUACGGACCGCUCCGCUGUCAUCCUGGUGGGCACCUGUGUCGAGCGCGAUUCGCCCACUUGCUCCGCACUCCGACGGCCGUUUCCCGUGCACGCGGGGCAUGUUGGACUAUAGGUGUCGGGCCUGCCACACCUAUAACAGAAGACGCGCCUUUCCGGUGACAUGCAGUCGCGGAAACCAAUGCCGGCUUGUCUGCAGUUCCAGCAAACUAACGCCUGUUGCGGACGCCUUGCCAAACGCGCCUCUUCAACUAUGCCGAAAUCCGCCGACUCCUCGCCGUUAGUGUCGUCGACCAACUCCUCCACUGCCGGUGGACGGUUUCCACCACUAAAACGUGUGCCGCUGCGUGUUGGGAACAAGCCUUCUCGCCGCUGGACCAUAGCUUCCACCUCUACGCAUUCGUCACAUGGUGCUGUUUGGAGACGCGACGCCAGUUUCCUCAUGGCAUGGAUGUACUCCUCCACGCUUUCGUGUGCCUUCUGCCGUCUUUCGCGCAAUUGACGCAUGCGCUCGAAUUCAUCGGCGGCGCCUUUAAAACGGGACAGCAUGCUUCGCUUAAGUUCUGGCCAGCUGUCUGCCCGGUGGUCCCUGACAUACUGCCAGUACCACUCGCGAGCGUGCCCAGUUACUAACAGAUGGAAACUGUUUAAUACUUCAAACCAUGCGCAGCGACACUGCCUCUGAAGGAACUCUACCUGGAAAACGAAGUCUUCUACCGCCAUUUUCUCCUUGUCGCCGCUGAAAACGAUGUCCCACUUCUCAACGCGGCACCAUCCUGAUCUGCCAUUCGCCGCAGCAUACGGAGGAGGUGGGUCCAGCUGACCACUCCAAUCGUUACGCCUAUUGCCUCUUCGACGGGCCGACUGUGCCGCGGGAUUUUGCCAAUUUCGAGCUGUGUUGCUGCUAUUGCCAGCUCCACUGGAGGAAUUAGCUGCCGCUGGCCUUGCUACCGGACGCGAAGUUCCUCUUGCUGGUGUUAGAGGUUCAGCCUGGUAUUGAUGCUGCCGUUUUGGCACCGCACCACGAUUCUGGCUGACUGGCGGUUGCCAUGCUCCAUUUGCAGCUGAAUCGCCGCUAUUCGCUUGCGGUUGCAAGAUUUCUUUGAGCGCGCCCAUUAAGACAUGAUGUUGUUGAUGCCCUCUUUUUGCGAUUGGCGGUAUGUUUCGUUCGCCUGGGCCACUGCUGCUUCUACCGCCGACGCGACUACUGGCUCGGCGUCCCAGUGUACUGCUGGUGCUAUGGACGGCCUCGGAGGAGUGUGCAUGAGGCCACCGGUUGAAAAACCCACGGCUCCUUCUAGGUGUUCCUCCAGAUCAUCAUUUCUGGCAGUUCUCGACCUUGUGUUAUACGCGCGCGCAGAAUCCUUUUCCAUUUCAAUCAAAAAAAAAAACGCUUUGUUUUUUUAUGAUAUUUAUAUAUAUUUUGGAUUAUAAAUUUGUUCAGCUUUCAAGCAGGCCCCGAAGAAAAAUUCGUUAUUCAAUUGAAUUGAUGUAUAUAUAUCUGUAUUCCACACAAUGAAAAUGUUUGCAAACGCCCAAAACAACAAAAACAAAUGGGCAAGAA